GAUGAACGCUGGCGGCGUGCCUAAUACAUGCAAGUCGAGCGAACGGACGAGAAGCUUGCUUCUCUGAUGUUAGCGGCGGACGGGUGAGUAACACGUGGAUAACCUACCUAUAAGACUGGGAUAACUUCGGGAAACCGUAGCUAAUACCGGAUAAUAUUUUGAACCGCAUGGUUCAAAAGUGAAAGACGGUCUUGCUGUCACUUAUAGAUGGAUCCGCGCUGCAUUAGCUAGUUGGUAAGGUAACGGCUUACCAAGGCAACGAUGCAUAGCCGACCUGAGAGGGUGAUCGGCCACACUGGAACUGAGACACGGUCCAGACUCCUACGGGAGGCAGCAGUAGGGAAUCUUCCGCAAUGGGCGAAAGCCUGACGGAGCAACGCCGCGUGAAUGAUGAAGGUCUUCGGAUCGUAAACCUCUGUUAUUAGGGAAGAACAUAUGUGUAAGUAACUGUGCACAUCUUGACGGUACCUAAUCAGAAAGCCACGGCUAACUACGUG
This 497-nucleotide ribosomal RNA is filed under the name uncultured bacterium. Its description in RNAcentral is "partial 16S ribosomal RNA". It matches the Rfam family "Bacterial small subunit ribosomal RNA", at positions 28 to 507 of the family's 1533-position model. The record is from RNAcentral.